UUGUUAUUGUUAUUGUCGAUGUUGCUAUUGCUGUUUGUUAUUGCACAUAAAAACAAAACAAGAAAACUGAAAAUAAGCAAAAAAAAAAAAAAAGAUUCCAUGCGCCGUGACAGGCGUGAAGUUUUGGUAAACCCUUCACGGCAAUGGAUGUGCCUAGAGAUCGAGGAUGACUUUUAACUUGCAGGGUGAAAAUCAAAAGAAAAGAAAUUUAAUUAUAGUUUAAUGACAGCACGCAAAUAGUCGACAAAUCAAAAAGGCAAAGUAAAUGCCAACAUCAUUUGACUAUCAUGGACACAAGGAGAAAUGAUGGCACAGCCGAAGCUGAAGUCGCAGUCGCAGUCGGAGUUGCCAUCAUCAUCCCAGAGCCCAGGCAGAGGCAGCAGCAGCACUUUCAUCGGCGCUUACGCAGCAUGAGAUUCAGAUCUAUUGCCGGUAAAACUCGACUUCAACUCUCCAGCUUCGAAUAUCCAAAUCCCAGAGACUGAGAGAAUGAGAGGGAGAUAGAUAAACCUAAGCCCGCCUGCGACUUAUUUGUGCGCCUAGCCUGGCUUCUACCUUGCCCCAUUGUUGCGCCGCGGUUUCGUUUUUCAUUUUUGAAAGCUCAUCGUGCACGAGGUCAAUGAAGAGCAGCUCCAGCUUCAGCUCCAACUCAAGCUCCAGCUUCAGUUCAACCUCAGCUCCAGUAAGAGCAGCUGAAAACGCGAUUCUGUUGUGUUUUUUUGUUUCUUCUGUUUUUGUACCUUGUCUGCCGGUAUCAAAGAUUUGCUUUCAACACAGUUUUUGCAACAAUGUUUCUCAGAAAUAUUAACUGAGAACACGCCGAAAAAGCAUAGGCUCAACUAUAUAAAUAUCCUUUUUCUGUUAUUUUUUGCACAGCAGCAGCAGCAGCAACGGCAGCAGCAAACAACCGAAAGUGUCAGCUGAAAUGAUAAUGAUAAAUGGUGCUUGAUGCCGGAGAAGGUUCGAGUAUGGAGAGAUGACACCCGAAGGUGUAGGCAGUGUGACUUCGACUUCGACUCACAGCUCCAAAUCAGCUUAAUGAAAUUUCGUUGAGCACUUUGAGUCUCAGUUGAUUUAAUGCUUACAAAAUGUUGGUCAGAAGCUUCAAAAUAUGAAUUAAACUUAAUAAUUACUUGUGCUAAAUUGUAUGUUAUAAAUAUAAAAU
Molecule: long non-coding RNA, 1165 nt
Organism: Drosophila nasuta
Lineage: Eukaryota; Metazoa; Arthropoda; Insecta; Diptera; Drosophilidae
Exons: 3
Source: RefSeq, a predicted model, not a curated record